GACGAACGCUGGCGGCGUGCUUAACACAUGCAAGUCGAACGGCAAGGCCCUGCUUUUGUGGGGUGCUCGAGUGGCGAACGGGUGAGUAACACGUGAGUAACCUGCCCUUGACUUUGGGAUAACUUCAGGAAACUGGGGCUAAUACCGGAUAGGAGCUCCUGCUGCAUGGUGGGGGUUGGAAAGUUUCGGCGGUUGGGGAUGGACUCGCGGCUUAUCAGCUUGUUGGUGGGGUAGUGGCUUACCCAGGCUUUGACGGGUAGCCGGCCUGAGAGGGUGACCGGCCACAUUGGGACUGAGGUACGGCCCAGACUCGUACGGGAGGCAGCAGUGGGGAAUAUUGCACAAUGGGCGGAAGCCUGAUGCAGCAACGCCGCGUGCGGGAUGACGGCCUUCGGGUUGUAAACCGCUUUCGCCUGUGACGAAGCGUGAGUGACGGUAAUGGGUAAAGAAGCACCGGCUAACUACGUG
RNAcentral lists this ribosomal RNA (468 nucleotides) under uncultured bacterium. RNAcentral describes it as "partial 16S ribosomal RNA". It matches the Rfam family "Bacterial small subunit ribosomal RNA", at positions 28 to 507 of the family's 1533-position model. The record is from RNAcentral.